RNAcentral lists this ribosomal RNA (773 nucleotides) under Ochrolechia austroamericana. Its description in RNAcentral is "SSU rRNA". It matches the Rfam family "Bacterial small subunit ribosomal RNA", at positions 355 to 1171 of the family's 1533-position model. The record is from RNAcentral. Lineage: Eukaryota; Fungi; Ascomycota; Lecanoromycetes; Pertusariales; Ochrolechiaceae.
GGAGGAAUGUAUAGCGAAAGCUAGUUGUAUUAACUAACUGUUAAUGCAGCAACGACUCUGUCGUGUAAAGUUCAGGGUAGAGUUAUGAUAAUGACAUUUCCUACCUGUGUGUCUCGACCAAACUACGUGCCAGCAGUCGCGGUAAUACGUUGGAGACUAGUGUUAUUCGUCUUUAGUAGGUUUAAAGGGUACCUAGACGGUUAUUUCAGCCCCCAAGGGGUACUGUUUAUACUAGAGUUUUAUGAGAGGGGGGGUGUACUAAUGGUGUAGAGAUGAAAUUCUGUCAUACCAUUAUGAACAGGCAACAGCGAAGGCAACCCUUUAUGUAAAAACUGACGUUGAAGGACGAAGGCUUGGUCCACCAACAGGAUUAGAUACCCUAGCAGUCCGAGCAGACAAUGAUGAAUGCCAUAGACUGGAAAAAUAUAUAAUAAAAAGGAAUUCUAGUAAAGAAUAAGGAAUUAUUAGGAAGAAUAAUUUGUCUAUAAAUGAAAGUGUAAGCAUUCCACCUCAAGAGUAAUGCGGCAACGCAUAAACUGAAAUCAUUAGACCGUUUCUGAAACCAGUAGUGAAGUAUGUUGUUUAAUUUGAUACUACGCGGAAAACCUUACCACAAUUUGUAUGUUUAGAGAUAAAUACAAGAGUUGCACGGCUGUCUUCAGUUAAUGUCGUGAGAUUUUGGUUAGUUCCAUUUAAUUAACGUAAACCCUUACUUUAUUUUAAUAGUAAAUAGAGUAGUUCACCGCUAUAUUGGAUAUGAUAAAAGGGACUAA